UGGGAGAUGAGUCAACACCAAGGGACGACCAGUCCUAAGCCCUGGACAUGGACCUGGGGGUGAGGACAGAAGGGGAUCAGGACCAGCCCUCUCAUCCUGCACACUGAGGCAUGGGUGAUCCCAGGAAGCCACUCACCAGGCACCAGGGUGGCUUCCUGGAGGAGAGGAUGCUGAAGCCGACCUCAAGAAGUGUCUGUGUUAGGUUUAAGGACUCACAAGACUUCUCUGGCUGGACUAAAGCUGUGCGACCUUGCCAUUGUACUUCUCCAAAGCUAGUGUCUUCACCGCUCUGCAAAAUAUGGCAAAGUCAACGGUAGCUCUCAUCACCACUGGUAGGUACUGUGGUGAUGUGGUGGGAAGGGGUGGAUCAAAUCAUGCACAAAAAACUUGAAGGUUGAUAAUCUAGGUAAGAGAAAAAGACAAGCCAAUAACAUGUUGUUAUCGGCAAAAGUUGAGAAAUACGCAAGGUGCCUGGAAGAAAGUAUCUGAGAUAGGCUCUAAGGCUCUAACGAAGUAGAAUGUCUAAGCAGGUCGCGGUGGCUCUCGCCUGUAAUCCCAGCAUUUUGGGAGGCCGAGGUGGGUGGAUCACUUGAGGUCAGGAGUUCGACACCAGCCUGGCAAACAUGGCGAAACCCAGUCUUUACUAAACAUACAAAAAUUUACCGGGCGUGGUGGCGCACGCCUGUGAUCCCAGCUUCUUGGGGUGGAGGUUGCAGGGAGCUGAGAACACACCACUGCACUCCAGCCUGGGUGACAGAGCAAGACUCCGUUUCAAAAAAAAAAGGAAGUAACCGUCUAGAUGGGAGUGAUAAGGACCAAGUAUCCCUGGGAGAAGAAAACAGCUCUGGUAGCAGAUCACUCAAGCCCGGGAGGUGUAGGCUGCAGUGAGCCGUGAUCACGCCACUGCACUCCGGCCUGGGUGACAGAAGAAGACCCUAUCUCCAAAAAAAAAAAAAAAAAAGAAAAGGCCCACCAAAGCCAAAUAGGCAGGAAUACAGAAAGGCCAGCAUUUCAGUUCUGUGCUCCUAAGCCUUUCAGAACACUGUGCUGUAGACAGAAGGGCUGGACAUAACCAUUCAAUGGGGGCAUCUCUUGCAACCUGCAAUAGCAAAAUCUCAGAGCUUGUGCCAGAAAGGUGCAGAUUGGCACAUUUAAAUCCCGGAUCUAUCACUUCUUGCCUGACCUUGAGCAAGUCACUUAAUCUUUGAACCCCAGCUUCCUGGUUUGCAAAGCAGGUUUAAUACCUAAUACACAGAACGUACCUGGGGGUCCUGGGGUCUAGAUCCUCUCUUCCAACUAGUUAACUCCAAAUGUGAGCCACUGGCUUUCCUACUUCAAAAGCCCUAAGGGCCAAUGGCUCAUGCCUGUAAGCUCAUGCCUGUAACAGUUUAAAUGUUAUGUCCGCACGCACCUCUGACAGGCUGAGGUGGGAGGAUCAUGUGAGGCCAGGAGUUCAAGGCCAGCCCGGGCAACACAGUGAGACCCCCAUCGCUACAAGAAAUUUAAAAAUUAGCUGAGUGUGGUGGUGCGCACCCGCAGUCCCAGGUGCUUGGGAGGCCGAGGUGAGAGGAUUGCUUGAGCCUAGGAGUUCGAGGCUGCAGUGAGCUAUGAUGGUGCCACUGUACUUCAGCCUGGGCAACAGAGACCCCAUCUCUUAAAA
Molecule: long non-coding RNA, 1660 nt
Filed under: Homo sapiens (human)
Lineage: Eukaryota; Metazoa; Chordata; Mammalia; Primates; Hominidae
Description: HSALNT0341555
Source: RNAcentral